AUACAGGGGGUGCGAGCGUUAAUCGGAAUUACUGGGCGUAAAGAGUACGUAGGCGGUUGCUUAAGUCAGAUGUGAAAGCCCCGGGCUCAACCUGGGAACUGCAUUUGAAACUGAGUGACUAGAGUUUAAGAGAGGGGAGUAGAAUUCCGGGUGUAGCGGUGAAAUGCGUAGAUAUCCGGAGGAAUACCAGUGGCGAAGGCGGCUCCCUGGAUUAAAUCUGACGCUGAGGUACGAAAGCGUGGGUAGCAAACAGGAUUAGAAACCCGAGUAGUCC
RNAcentral lists this ribosomal RNA (274 nucleotides) under uncultured bacterium. RNAcentral describes it as "partial 16S ribosomal RNA". It matches the Rfam family "Bacterial small subunit ribosomal RNA", at positions 523 to 796 of the family's 1533-position model. The record is from RNAcentral.